This 497-nucleotide ribosomal RNA is filed under the name uncultured bacterium. RNAcentral describes it as "partial 16S ribosomal RNA". It matches the Rfam family "Bacterial small subunit ribosomal RNA", at positions 28 to 507 of the family's 1533-position model. The record is from RNAcentral.
GAUGAACGCUGGCGGCGUGCCUAAUACAUGCAAGUCGAGCGAACAGACGAGGAGCUUGCUCCUCUGACGUUAGCGGCGGACGGGUGAGUAACACGUGGAUAACCUACCUAUAAGACUGGGAUAACUUCGGGAAACCGGAGCUAAUACCGGAUAAUAUAUUGAACCGCAUGGUUCAAUAGUGAAAGACGGUUUUGCUGUCACUUAUAGAUGGAUCCGCGCCGCAUUAGCUAGUUUGUAAGGUAACGGCUUACCAAGGCAACGAUGCGUAGCCGACCUGAGCGGGUGAUCGGCCACACUGGAACUGAGACACGGUCCAGACUCCUACUGGAGGCAGCAGUAGGGAAUCUUCCGCAAUGGGCGAAAGCCUGACGGAGCAACGCCGCGUGAGUGAUGAAGGUCUUCGGAUCGUAAAACUCUGUUAUUAGGGAAGAACAAAUGUGUAAGUAACUAUGCACGUCUUGACGGUACCUAAUCAGAAAGCCACGGCUAACUACGUG